Nematolebias whitei (Rio pearlfish) is the source of this 71-nucleotide small nucleolar RNA. NCBI's taxonomy places the organism in Eukaryota, Metazoa, Chordata, Actinopteri, Cyprinodontiformes, Rivulidae. The record is from RefSeq and is a predicted model, not a curated record.
UUAUGAUGAAACUUAAACAAUAGCUGGAAUUACCGGCAGACUGUUAAGUGUUGAUCAAUCGUUUCCUGAAC